ACGUAGGUGCUGCAUGGUUGUCGUCAGCUCGUGCCGUGAGGUGUCGGGUUAAGUCCCAUAACGAGCGCAACCCUACCUUUAGUUGCCAUCAGGUUAAGCUGGGGACUCUAAAGGAACUGCCUACGCAAGUAGUGAGGAAGCGGGGAUGACGUCAAAUCAGCACGGCCCUUACGUCCAGGGCUACACACGUGCUACAAUGGCCGAUACAGAGGGCAGCUACCUGGUGACAGGAUGCAAAUCUCCAAAGUCGGUCUCAGUUCGGAUCGGAGUCUGCAACCCGACUCCGUGAAGUUGGAUUCGCUAGUAAUCGCGCAUCAGCCAUGGCGCGGUGAAUACGUUCCCGGGCCUU
Molecule: ribosomal RNA, 349 nt
Filed under: uncultured Sphingobacteriales bacterium
Lineage: Bacteria; Pseudomonadati; Bacteroidota; Sphingobacteriia; Sphingobacteriales
Description: bacterial SSU rRNA
Rfam family: Bacterial small subunit ribosomal RNA
Source: RNAcentral